This 466-nucleotide ribosomal RNA is filed under the name uncultured bacterium. RNAcentral describes it as "partial 16S ribosomal RNA". It matches the Rfam family "Bacterial small subunit ribosomal RNA", at positions 30 to 507 of the family's 1533-position model. The record is from RNAcentral.
CGACCGCUGGCGGCGUGCUUAACACAUGCAAGUCGAACGGAAAGGCCCUGCUUUUGUGGGGUGCUCGAGUGGCGAACGGGUGAGUAACACGUGAGUAACCUGCCCUUGACUUUGGGAUAACUUCAGGAAACUGGGGCUAAUACCGGAUAGGAGCUCCUGCUGCAUGGUGGGGGUUGGAAAGUUUCGGCGGUUGGGGAUGGACUCGCGGCUUAUCAGCUUGUUGGUGGGGUAGUGGCUUACCAAGGCUUUGACGGGUAGCCGGCCUGAGAGGGUGACCGGCCACAUUGGGACUGAGAUACGGCCCAGACUCCUACGGGAGGCAGCAGUGGGGAAUAUUGCACAAUGGGCGGAAGCCUGAUGCAGCAACGCCGCGUGCGGGAUGACGGCCUUCGGGUUGUAAACCGCUUUCGCCUGUGACGAAGCGUGAGUGACGGUAAUGGGUAAAGAAGCACCGGCUAACUACGUG